This 465-nucleotide ribosomal RNA is filed under the name Vreelandella stevensii. RNAcentral's name for it is "partial 16S ribosomal RNA". It matches the Rfam family "Bacterial small subunit ribosomal RNA", at positions 338 to 795 of the family's 1533-position model. Lineage: Bacteria; Pseudomonadati; Pseudomonadota; Gammaproteobacteria; Oceanospirillales; Halomonadaceae. The record is from RNAcentral.
CCUACGGGGGGCAGCAGUGGGGAAUAUUGGACAAUGGGGGCAACCCUGAUCCAGCCAUGCCGCGUGUGUGAAGAAGGCCCUCGGGUUGUAAAGCACUUUCAGUGAGGAAGAACGCCUGGUGGUUAAUACCCAUCAGGAAAGACAUCACUCAAAGAAGAAGCACCGGCUAACUCCGUGCCAGCAGCCGCGGUAAUACGGAGGGUGCGAGCGUUAAUCGGAAUUACUGGGCGUAAAGCGCGCGUAGGUGGCUUGAUAAGCCGGUUGUGAAAGCCCCGGGCUCAACCUGGGAACGGCAUCCGGAACUGUCAAGCUAGAGUGCAGGAGAGGAAGGUAGAAUUCCAUGUGUAGCGGUGAAAUGCGUAGAGAUCGGGAGGAAUACCAGUGGCGAAGGCGGCCUUCUGGACUGUCACUGACACUGAGGUGCGAAAGCGUGGGUAGCAAACAGGAUUAGAUACCCUUGUAGUC